Molecule: long non-coding RNA, 1201 nt
Filed under: Macaca fascicularis (crab-eating macaque)
Lineage: Eukaryota; Metazoa; Chordata; Mammalia; Primates; Cercopithecidae
Description: lncRNA (ENSMFAG00000060101.1)
Source: RNAcentral
AAGGCAAGAGAGAAGAAGGGAGGGCAGGAGAUGGCAGGAGAAGCAAGAUGCUUAAGAAGAUCGGACCUUCUCAGAUGUUGCCACGAGCCUAGGUAGGCCAAGAAUAUUUUUCUGUGGCAUCUCUAGGGUCCCAGAAGCCAUAAGGGACCCCAUAGCACAUGGGUCUGAGCCGCGAGGUCUGACGACCAGGUAAUCUGGGAUCCAGCAGGUCAAACCAGGGGUUAUUCCAUGGGGACCCCCCAGUCCUCAGGCCCAGCCUCAUGAGCGUUGGGCUGUUGGCCCUGGACAUCACGGAUGGGGUAAAAUGGUCCCCAUGAACCUGGCGAAGUUGGCCCCUGGAAAGGUUGGCCAUGGGCACCCCCAUGAGUGUGAGUGAAGGGACGCAUAUGCCUGUGCGUGUUGCCCGCAGGCAGGAGCCCAGCACACACCCCACCGGCCCUGGGACACCCGUGACAUGCACCUGCAUUGUGUAGAAGGCUUGGGUUGAGCUGCCUGAGGGGCCCCCACCUCACCCUCUGCUUCCUCUCAGGGGUGGGAGGCCGAGGGUGAACUUGUUUACCACUUCUGCUCCGGGCAGUGGUGAUGAGCUCACACUGGCCCAGUGCCCUCCAAGGGCAGGGCCAGGCCUGAGUCAUGGGGGUCAGAUGACUGCGGAGGCUAAAUGGGUCCCAUCCUGCAGCCCCCGGGAGCUGUUGGACACCCCGCCCUUCCCCUGAUGGUGGGCCACCCUUCCAAAUCAUUCAGCACCCCCAGGCCAAACACAGGGUGGAGAGGGUUCAGGGUUCAGGCCACCGUGGGCCCCUCCCCACAAUUCCACCUAUCCCAGGGCCAUUCACUGCCCUCUGGGGGCACCACCCUAGUUCAAGCUAAUGCCCUCCCAGAGUGGCAAACACUCCUCUAGUCACAUGUGAGGCCCCAAACACAUCCUAGAAAUAGAUUAAACAUUGAGGCUGUUACUUCUUCUGGGGCCUCAGGCUGCGGCACUGUCUAACGAGGUGGCGAACUGAUGCUCUCCAGCGGCACUUCCCCAGUGACCUUUGCCCUUGGCCUGUGGUGUACGUUCCUGGGGCUGCAGUUGAUGAAAGCUAAGAGAAGACCCUCAGCUCUGUCCCCCAGCAGACCUGCGGGAUCAGGAUUAUCUGCUGAUUGGAGGCCCACACCCUGGCUCCCUUCAGACAGCGUGAGGAACCAAGGUUAGCAU